AACGAACGCUGGCGGCAGGCCUAACACAUGCAAGUCGAACGCACCGCAAGGUGAGUGGCGCACGGGUGAGUAACACGUGGGAAUGUACCCUUUGGUUCGGAAUAACGUUUGGAAACGAACGCUAAUACCGGAUGAGCCCUACGGGGGAAAGAUUUAUCGCCAAAGGAGACGCCCGCGUCUGAUUAGGUAGUUGGUGGGGUAAAGGCCUACCAAGCCGACGAUCAGUAGCUGGUCUGAGAGGAUGAUCAGCCACACUGGGACUGAGACACGGCCCAGACUCCUACGGGAGGCAGCAGUGGGGAAUAUUGGAAAAUGGGCGCAAGCCUGAUCCAGCCAUGCCGCGUGAGUGAUGAAGGCCUUCGGGUUGUAAAGCUCUUUCGCACACGACGAUGAUGACGGUAGUGUGAGAAGAAGCCCCGGCUAACUUCGUGCCAGCAGCCGCCGUAA
Molecule: ribosomal RNA, 447 nt
Filed under: uncultured bacterium
Lineage: Bacteria
Description: partial 16S ribosomal RNA
Rfam family: Bacterial small subunit ribosomal RNA
Source: RNAcentral